GACGUAGGUGGCGAGCGUUAUCCGGAUUUACUGGGCGUAAAGCGCGUGCAGGUGGUUCGAUAAGUCGGGCGUGAAAUCUCCUGGCUCAACUGGGAGAGGCCGUCCGAUACUAUCGGACUUGAGGGCAGUAGAGGGAGGUGGAAUUCCGGGUGUAGUGGUGAAAUGCGUAGAUAUCCGGAGGAACACCGGUGGCGAAGGCGGCCUCCUGGACUGCCCCUGACACUCAGACGCGAAAGCUAGGGGAGCGAACGGGAUUAGAAACCCCAGUAGUCC
Molecule: ribosomal RNA, 273 nt
Filed under: uncultured bacterium
Lineage: Bacteria
Description: partial 16S ribosomal RNA
Rfam family: Bacterial small subunit ribosomal RNA
Source: RNAcentral